UGAUCCUUUGCAGGUCAAGGUAAAGGGC
Molecule: small RNA, 28 nt
Filed under: Bombyx mori (domestic silkworm)
Lineage: Eukaryota; Metazoa; Arthropoda; Insecta; Lepidoptera; Bombycidae
Description: ovarian small RNA-8316
Source: RNAcentral